AGGCCCGAUGUUGUUAGUUCUAUU
RNAcentral lists this non-coding RNA (24 nucleotides) under Arabidopsis thaliana (thale cress). Lineage: Eukaryota; Viridiplantae; Streptophyta; Magnoliopsida; Brassicales; Brassicaceae. The record is from RNAcentral.